Molecule: unclassified non-coding RNA, 152 nt
Filed under: uncultured Dothideomycetes
Lineage: Eukaryota; Fungi; Ascomycota; Dothideomycetes
Also listed under: 1 other name
Description: sequence contains ITS2
Source: RNAcentral
ACACCCUCAAGCUCUGCUUGGUGUUGGGCGUCUGUCCCGCUUCGCGCGCGGACUCGCCCCAAAGGUAUUGGCAGCGGUCUUGCCAGCUUCUCGCGCAGCACAUUGCGCUUCUCGAGGCUUUUGGCGGAUCGGCGUCCAUCAAGCCCCCCACA